RNAcentral lists this ribosomal RNA (317 nucleotides) under Methylobacterium sp. MA1.12. RNAcentral's name for it is "bacterial SSU rRNA". It matches the Rfam family "Bacterial small subunit ribosomal RNA", at positions 1008 to 1329 of the family's 1533-position model. The record is from RNAcentral. Lineage: Bacteria; Pseudomonadati; Pseudomonadota; Alphaproteobacteria; Hyphomicrobiales; Methylobacteriaceae.
UCACNGUCCUCUUCGGAGGCGCGCACACAGGUGCUGCAUGGCUGUCGUCAGCUCGUGUCGUGAGAUGUUGGUUAAGUCCCGCAACGAGCGCAACCCACGUCCUUAGUUGCCAUCAUUCAGUUGGGCACUCUAGGGAGACUGCCGGUGAUAAGCCGCGAGGAAGGUGUGGAUGACGUCAAGUCCUCAUGGCCCUUACGGGAUGGGCUACACACGUGCUACAAUGGCGGUGACAGUGGGACGAAAGGAGCGAUCUGGAGCAAAUCCCCAAAAGCCGUCUCAGUUCGGAUUGCACUCUGCACCUUGGGGCAAAAAGGCGG